UACGGAGGGGGCUAGCGUUGUUCGGAAUUACUGGGCGUAAAGCGUACGUAGGCGGAUCAGAAAGUAAGGGGUGAAAUCCCGAGGCUCAACCUCGGAACUGCCUCUUAAACUCCUGGUCUUGAGUUCGAGAGAGGUGAGUGGAAUUCCAAGUGUAGAGGUGAAAUUCGUAGAUAUUUGGAGGAACACCAGUGGCGAAGGCGGCUCACUGGCUCGAUACUGACGCUGAGGUACGAAAGUGUGGGGAGCAAACAGGAUUAGAUACCCCUGUA
Molecule: ribosomal RNA, 269 nt
Filed under: uncultured prokaryote
Description: partial 16S ribosomal RNA
Rfam family: Bacterial small subunit ribosomal RNA
Source: RNAcentral